CCCCUCCGUGUGCGCCGAGGGUGGUCCUGCCGCGCAAAGAAGAACUUCUUCCGCGAACCGUCUCCCGCCCACGAACGCCCAAAGCAGCCAGCGAACAGAGUCGAAUUCACCGUGCAAACAGGUCCACCUCCAAGAGAUGCUGGUGAGACUGGGUUUUUCGCGGACCAGUAAGUGGCCCCCGCCUCUGGCUGCCUGCGUAGGAUGGCCUGGGGUACCCUGCUCUCUAGGAGCUCCCGGGCCCCUCAGUCGGCUUGGCCCACCCCUCCCACUCCGCCGUCUCUCAGCCCCGUGGGCACGCCCAGUGUGGCCGGCGCGCCGGUUAAGACGGAAAGCAGCGCAAGGGAGUCUGUAGGUUGCACGCACGGAAGACACCUGGUUUCCUCAUUAAUGUGAAGACUGCUUUAUUGUACAUGCUUUUCGGACUGGACCAUGCACAACCCCAGUUCUGUGCAGGGAGGAUGCAAAACAGCAGAAUAUCUAUGGUACAUUUAUAAGGAGCAUUAAUUUUACUACAUGAUUUGGAAGAAACAACGUUAAGUAAUUUCCUAGUUCUUUCCAGCACAGAGCUCCAGGCAGCCACCACAAAUGGACUGAUGUUGGCGUACAAGAUUAAAACUGCCCUGUGAUCGCAUGCAGAGUGGAAACUGGCACCAGCAGCUUCAGUGGAAAAAAUUAAUCAUUCUAGAAGAAUAGAUGAUCCACCCUAAGCAAGGACUCAGGAACCCAGAAGUCGUGGUAAGGGCUUAGAGCCAGAUUGCUUCAUUUCCUCCCUCCUUGGCUGUACUUGUAUGUGACUGGUAUGGAAAUCCAGAAAGCAUACAGAAACAUUAAAAAUAGCAACUAUGUGGGCUGGGUCAAUACAUGGAAGUAUAUAAAUGAAGGAGUAUUUUUAAAAAACACGAAACAGUUUGGCACAGUCUGAUUAAAACUGUCUCAUGUAUGUUCAUAAACAAGUUUAGAAAGGAAUUUGGAAAUGAUUGAAAUUUUUUUAUAAAGCUCAUUCUUUGGGGUUGUUCAAAUUCUAAAAUGUGUUUAGAAACAAAUUGAUACAUUAACAGUUUAAAUCUUAGCUAUCCAGAAACUUCAAAUAUCUAGAAUUUCCCAAAGGUCUGUGCAACUCAGAUAGUACUAUAGUUUGAAAACUAUUAAUGCAUAAUGCAGUUGAUGAAAUAACACACAUUCACAGAGAAAGGAGCAAUUGCUAUAAUAUUAUAUGUAUAUAAUAAAUAUAACUAUAUAUACGUAUAAUAGGGAACACCUGUAAUGAGUGAGCCACUGCUGUAAGUGCUUUAUAUUCAUUAACUCUCAAGAAUUCUCCUUGAAGUAGGCUUUAGUAUCUCUCAAAAAUACAGUGUUGAAUGAAAAACACAAGUUACAGAAGUAUAUAUAGCAAGUACAUUUAUGGAAAGUUUCAAAUCUUACAAAGUUAAACAAUGUAUUACUUAGAGGUGCAUACAUACGUAGUAAAACUAUAAUGAAAGUCAAGAGUAAUAAAUGUUUUAACCUUCAGAUUAAUGAUUUUCCUGUCUGAAGAGGUAAAGGGUUAUGUUGGGAAGAGCCAUGUAGACAGCUUCAAAGGUACUGGUAAAAUUUUAUUAAGCAAGAGAAAGGUACAGGGUUUUUAUUUUAUUUAUUUUAUUUUUUCUUCAUUUUAUGUGUGUGUGUGUAUAAAUACAUAUGCAUCUGUGCAUUUAUAUACAUAAUAUAAAAUUGUGUAUGUAUAAAAGAAAAAAUUUUAAACAGCUUUAUUGGGAUACAGUUUACAUGUGGUACACUUUGUGUGUUUAAAGUGUAUAAUUUAGUGGUUUUCAUAUACUCACAUGUAUGUACAACCAUCACCACAGUCAAAUUUAUUUAUUUUUUUCAAAUAUUUUAUUUAUUUAUUUUGGUUUUUUGUUGAUGUUGUUUCGGGGGGAGGGGUAAUUAGAUUUACUUAUUUUAUUUACUGGAGGGACUGGGGAUUGAACCCAGGACCUCUUGCAUGCUAAGCAUGGGCUCUGCCACCAAGCUGUACCCUCCCGCCACUAGUCAAAUUUAGAACAUUUUUUUCAGCUCAGAAAGAAACCUUUAGGUAUCACCCUUCUAUUCCCCCCACCCCUCUCCUUCAGCCCUAAGCAACCACUAAGCUACAUUUCUGUGUAGAUUUUCCUAUACUGGACAUUUCACAAAGAUGGAAUCAUGUAACAUGUUGACUUUUAUGAGUGGCUUCUUUCACUUGCCGUAAUGUCUUCGAGGUCAUCCAAGUUUUAGUGUGUGUCAAUACUUCAUUCCUUUUUAUGGCUGUCAUAAUAGUAUUUAAAUUUUUUUUUAUCUUGAAUGAUGGUGUUUGAGAAAAAAUAAUUUACUUAGAAUGAAAUGAGAAAGAAUGAUUACUCUGGAGAUCCUAAAGGACUUUUACUCGUGAGAUCUCUGGAGGUGGGUGGCCCUGAUUCUUGUUCCAGAGUGUGACUUACAGUGCUGGGAAUACUAAGCUAUAGAGUGAAUUGUGGGUUCCCAGGUGAAUGUGAAUGAGGCAGAGGGCAGAAGAAGAGUUCUUUUACUAAGGGAAAGGGACAAAAAUCUGUGAAAGAGGGAAGAGGAGAGCUGCUUGAAGCAGAAUUAACACAGCUACGAGGAGUGAAAGGCAGAAUAAAAGGUGCGCACACAGCUUGGGUACACGGUCUAAGGGGAGAAAAGAAGGUGACAAGAUAGGGCCGUCAGGUCGUAAAUCUCCAACAGCUGGAGUCACUGGCCCUCGAGGCCUGGUUGUGACCUCAGCAGGAAGGGAGCUAGGACUAGCGGUGGGGUGAGGGCGGAUGCUCAGGAAGGAAGUCAGUGUACAGGCGGCAUCAGUGUGUAUAUGGUGUGGAACUUUAGGGAGUGCCUGUAUUUGGCCUUCAGGCCUGUUGGAAAGUACUUAUUUAUUCAAUCAACCACCUCUUAAGUGCCUGCUGUGUGACACACUGUGCUAUGGACUGUAGAUACAGUAUCACCCUUUCCCUGCCUUCAAGGGACUUAGCAUCUCAUAGGAACAGUACUUAUUUUUUCUUUUCCAUUUCCCCACAGUUCCUGCAAGUGUGUUCUGCACAGAUGGGCAAAUUAUGAUUACUGUUGAUUAAUAAUAAAAGAAAUAAAGUUUUUUACAUUCAGAUUUUUUCAAAAAUGAGUAUCUAAGAUGUAGAAUUCUGUAUAUUUGGCUUCUUUAAUGUUAGCAAAACAGAAUAAAUAGAAAAUGAAAAAAACUAAUUUUCCAAUUUAAAAUUUUCACAUUGAUGUCAGUAGGAGUCCUUUGUUUGUGUUUCCUAAAGUGUAUAUACUUAAGAGCUUUAGAUUUUUUUAAAAAAUUAUUAAUUUUUUGGUGGGGGAGGUAAUUAAGCUUAUUUAUUUAUUUUUGGAGGAGGUACUGGGGGUUGAACUCAGGACCUCAUGCGUGCUGAGCAUGCGCUCUACCACUUGAGCUGCACCCUCCCCCUAGGAGUCUAGAUCUUUUAAAAGGGGCAAGAGAGAAAGAAAUACAUAAGUGACUCAUGCCAUAUUUCCUGGCAUGUCAGAUUACUGUGAUGAUGAUUAUAUACUUAGAUUUACAAGUAUAGAAUUUUUUCAGUGACGUAUUUGUUUAUAGUUGAAAUGUGGAUUUCAUCUCCUUUAUUCCUCUUGAACUCAGUCAUAGUCUUGAGCAGCCACCCAAAGAAUCUUACAUUGAAGCUGGGUUUCUCUCCCUAGGAAUGUUUAUCGGAAAGGAAAAAGAAGAUGCAUUGAGUCAAUUAACCUUGGCCAUCAUGCUUACUUUCACUAAGGAGUGUGAAGUUUUACUCCCAUCACAAGUUUGUAGACUUCUUUGCCCCAAAUUCAACACACACAGACCCAGCUGAACGUCAGUGACAGCACAGGGGACGGUUACAAAUACUUGGUGUGGACUAAGUCUUGGGAACUUAUCAGAGUUGUUGCAAGUUAUAUCCCUUUUUGAUAAAUGCAUGUGUCUGUGAAAAUAAGGAGCGAUUUGAUUCCAGACUCAAUUCAUCAUGUUCUUUUUCCCAGCUGUGGUUUGCAAUUGGUAUUUGAGAUACUAGAAACUAAAAAUGCUGGUAAGCCACAGGGGGAAAAAAAUCCUGUUUUCUGAGUGCUUCAGACUUAAUCCUGGGCUUGUUCCUUAAUCACAUUGGAAAAAGAGAAGCUAUUUUUAAAAAAUGGAAAACUAUAAAGUAACACUGAUGAGAAAUGUAGAUUUGGGGAAGAAAAACCAGAAAUGUAGAUUUAGUAUAUUUCAUAGGUGUGAUGGACCAGAAAGAUCAGCUUAAGAAAUUGAAGCUAAAAUCACAUGUUGUCACAUGGAAACUCUUGGGAACAGAGCUUAGCCAGAACCUGAGUGUCCUGAAUCUCAGGUUGUUAAUCCUUCAUGACAUGACAUUGCCAAUGAAGAGGCUGACUCAUGUUUAUAUAAUUAAAAAAAAAAACAACAAGGGGGGAAAGGGCCUUCUUCCUUUAUAUCAUUCAUGUUCAAAACUCGUGGCGCAGUAGGUCUGCCCUGCAGGACUACACCAUUACUUCCUAAACCUUCAUUCUCAAAUAACUAUGCCUGUGGUGGAUUAGGGAAAGAAGGGGUGACAGUGAAGGAGACUGAGCAGUCUCCUGCUAAAGUUAAAAUAAUAUUCCUACAUCCUUACAAAAAGUUAAUCAAAAUACUAUUCCCAAUUUAUCAUCCCACAAUUUGGCUGGGGGUUGGGGGUGGGCACUUAAUGCUGGUGUAUACUGGCAUCUGAUGUAAAUGGAUGUCUGAUCUAACAGCUACAAAAAUGAAAGUACACAUUUAGUUAUAGAAGAUGAGAGUUUCUGCUGUGAAAUGAUGAUACUAACCCAGAGUCAUCCAGACUUUAAUUAAUGGCAAGAAUUUAAUUAGAUGCCCAGGAGCACUCACUUGAAAAUUAAACUCCCAUCAACAUCCCUGGAAGCAUCUCUGGAACUUUGCCUCUGGACACAAACUUUUGUCUUCAAAAACAGCAGACAAAAACCAAACAGCAGACAGGAAGGUGAGCCCUGCUUGGGCAGGCACUGAGAGGAAAUUAGUGCCCUGAUGCCAUACACCUCCAGGAGCCCGUGCGUACCGGCUUUCCCGGCAUCAUACCCAUCUGCUCAGCAAGGAGAGUCCUCAGGAACCUUCACCUAUGUCCCUGCCCCAUCCAAGCCAAAAUGAAACAACCCAAAGAGAAAGAAAGAACACGUGUUGAAGCUGAGCUCCUCAUUUAAAGUAUGAAAAGCCUGUACUUUUCCAAGUUACAAAUUCAGAAUAGAAAAACAAGUCUCCUUGCCUCCUGGAUUGUUCUCUCUGUACUGAGAACAUGCUCUGUGCUUUCUAAACGCAUCACUGGGGAGAGCCAUCGCUCAGCGUGGAUGUAAUCAAAAUUCCUGUGCGUAGGCAAACGUACAUUUGUUUUUAGAAAUGGGGGUUAUACUGUAUGCUUUUAUAUCCUACUUCUAAAAUACGUAAUGUUCUUAUAAUUAUUUUACAGUUAUUUGAAACAACUUCAGUGGCUAUAUAAUACUAAAUCAAAAGAGCAUUUUAUUUCACCAUUAUUUAUUUCACCAUUUUCCUACUGGACAUUUAGGUUGCUUCCCGUGUAAAAGCAUAUAUAGCUUAUUAUUUGAUGAAUAUUUGUCUGCGUCCCCAGAUUGUAAACACAUGUGUUUGUUUUUGGUCACCAAGAUACUCUUAUUCCAGAACAGUAUGUGAAAUACAUUGGAUAGGCGACAGCAUCUGUAGAGUGAAUAAAGGAACCUAGCCUUCAAUCCUUCAGAUCAGCCUCAUCCAGAAAACAUUCCUCUGCGUACAUAGUUGUCUCCCUCUCUGCCAAAAUUUCCCUACAGUUCUUUUCCUUGCAGAGAAAAAGAGGGAAAUGCUAUUUAUUGCCAGGCAUUGUGCUAGAUACAUUCAGGAAGAUAUCUCGUGCCAAAAGGUUUGCACCUUAGCCUAGAGGACAUGCAAAAAAACCUGCCAUGAAAUUUUCAAUCAAGAACCCUUCCGGAACUCUCCAGUGAGCAGGUUAUGCAAGCUGCUCCAGGAAGUGACAGAUGUAUGUCUCUAAGACAAACGUAAACGAGAAACAUUCAAGUCAAUAACCACUUCCUAUUAAAUGUUCGUUUGUACAGAACCAUCUCCCCUCCUCCACAAACAUGGAAGAGAAGAGGGAGGAGAGCAGGGGAGGGGAGAAGUGCCCCAGGACAACAGUCCAGGCUCUGAAGCUUCGCCCAGGGUGCGGUGGAUGGGCUGGCCUGCAGCCAGGGCAGCCUUUCCUCUUGUCUCCCAGGUGGAUUCAAGCCAUCCUUUAAGCUGACUGUUAUUUUGGUUAUGAUGACUUUGAGUGCCAUGGAGGUCCCAGAUACCCUCUUAUUUUGAAUCCCCUCCAGAGAAUGCUGGGACGGCCCGCACCCCUCCACCCUCCACCAGGUGAAGUCCUCGGUGGGGCGAGCUGUGCACCUGCAGUGGCGUGCACUUCUGGCACUGCUCCACUUGCAGCCGUGUGAAGCCAGCCCCUGGACCACCUCCCACACUGUGUUGUCAGCUCCACGGAACUCAUGGUCUUCAUGUGCAGUAGAAAGUGCAGGGAGUGUAGCUUGACUUCCCCACUUUCUUGUCCCCACUGCUUGUCAUGGGAUGUUCAGUCAGCUCCACUUUGCUUCAGGCUGCAUUGCAGAUCUUUCUGGCUGACCUGAAACAAAGCUGUCUUGAGUAGGAAGUUGAAGAAGCUCCCAGAGGGCCUCCUGCCAGCCUGGCUGUUGCCAGAGGGAGGGCUGGAGUCACACCACCAGGCUUCCCAGCAUGCAGGGGAUUUCCUUGGAAGGAUGCACCCUGGGUGGGUUCCAUCUGAGGCUCCACCGCUGCUGCUGUUCCUGGGGUUGGGGGGGUGAUUGCUGCAGGGCCACACGGGGGGGCUGUGCUGGAAGUGGUGGUCCUUGGCUCCAGGCUGGGUCUGGGACGCUGGCUGUGCUGUUGGUCUUGCACUCUGACUUCCGGUCCUUCCCAGGCCACUGACUUUCUAGGUUACAGAACAAAGCAAAGGUGGAAGUAGCAGGCUUGCUGAAAGGAUGCCUCUUUGGAUACACACAGACUUUCAGCUAAACUUGUGGGAUGAGAAAGGACUUCAGUUGUUGGGGGGAUCAGCUCAAGGCAGGGGCCUCAUGGCGAUGGUAGAGCCUUCCACCUUGGGUUGUAGCCCAGGAUCAGGUAGGUGGCCAUCACUUCUGGCUUAUCCAUGAGUCCUAGGUAGGUCACACCUGUAGCCCAUGGAUAACAUCAGUGAAGUCUGCCAGGGCCCUUUGGAGUCAGGGGAUGGCUCGAUGGAAGGCCCGAGUUCCUCCUCCUGAAGCAUGUUCACCACAGGUCCCUCAUGGCACACGCGGGAUGUGUUGGGCCAGCUUCACCCCGACAUGGCUGCCCUGGCUGGUGGUCUUGAGCUGGUAACUGCCAAUCUCCCCCUCGGCAAAGCUAGCCGCGGGGCCCUGCGGCACGGUGACUUGCUAGCUACACUCCCUGGCAAUACUGACAAUACAAACCAACAAACUAAAUAAAAAUAAGAUAAAAGAAUAGAGAAAAGAAACAACUAAGAAAAAGAACAAAGGAAAAAAACUACCUGUAGUCAUAGUCCCUUAGGUCACCAAAAACCAGCUUCCCUAGACCCAGCCAGGGGCUUAAAUAGGUGCUUAAAACCCGCCCCAGUGGCUCCUUUGUAGGUUAUGGCAAGAAAUGGCCGUGUUACAACAGGGGAUAGUUCAUGGUGCUUUUCUUACCUUUAAUCUCAAGAACGCUUUACUCUUUUAAAGGGGGAAGGGGUAGAGGACUCAAAAGGACUUUUUGUCGAUGCAGGAUAUAGUGAUUAAUAUUUAUCGUAUUAGAAAUUAAAACCCAUAGGAUGCUUCAGUGGCUUUUUCAGUCCUAGUUUGAAAGUCUGUAAUAAAUUUUGGCUUUUAAAAACA
Non-coding RNA from Vicugna pacos (alpaca), 7947 nucleotides. The record is from RefSeq and is a predicted model, not a curated record. Lineage: Eukaryota; Metazoa; Chordata; Mammalia; Artiodactyla; Camelidae.